GAAUUGACGGGGACCCGCACAAGUAGCGGAGCAUGUGGUUUAAUUCGAAGCAACGCGAAGAACCUUACCUAAGCUUGACAUCCUUUUGACCGAUGCCUAAUCGCAUCUUUCCCUUCGGGGACAGAAGUGACAGGUGGUGCAUGGUUGUCGUCAGCUCGUGUCGUGAGAUGUUGGGUUAAGUCCCGCAACGAGCGCAACCCUUGCCUUUAGUUGCCAGCAUUAAGUUGGGCACUCUAGAGGGACUGCCAGGGAUAACCUGGAGGAAGGUGGGGAUGACGUCAAAUCAUCAUGCCCCUUAUGCUUAGGGCUACACACGUGCUACAAUGGGUGGUACAGAGGGCAGCCAAGUCGUGAGGCGGAGCUAAUCCCUUAAAGCCAUUCUCAGUUCGGAUUGUAGGCUGAAACUCGCCUACAUGAAGCUGGAGUUACUAGUAAUCGCAGAUCAGAAUGCUGCGGUGAAUGCGUUCCCGGGUCUUGUACACACCG
This 486-nucleotide ribosomal RNA is filed under the name uncultured Clostridium sp. RNAcentral describes it as "bacterial SSU rRNA". It matches the Rfam family "Bacterial small subunit ribosomal RNA", at positions 907 to 1392 of the family's 1533-position model. The record is from RNAcentral. Lineage: Bacteria; Bacillati; Bacillota; Clostridia; Eubacteriales; Clostridiaceae.